RNAcentral lists this ribosomal RNA (375 nucleotides) under uncultured bacterium. Its description in RNAcentral is "bacterial SSU rRNA". It matches the Rfam family "Bacterial small subunit ribosomal RNA", at positions 29 to 406 of the family's 1533-position model. The record is from RNAcentral.
AUUGAACGCUGGCGGCAUGCCUUACACAUGCAAGUCGAGCGGCAGCGCGGGGGCAACCCUGGCGGCGAGCGGCGGACGGGUGAGUAAUACAUCGGAACGUGUCCUUUCGGUGGGGGAUAACCAGUACGAAAGACUGGCUAAUACCGCAUGAGAUCUUACGAUGAAAGCGGGGACCGCAAGGCCUCGCGCGAUUGGAGCGGCCGAUGUCGGAUUAGCUAGUUGGCGGGGAAAANCCCACCAAGGCUACGAUCCGUAGCUGGUUUGAGAGAACGACCAGCCACACUGGGACUGAGACACGGCCCAGACUCCUACGGGAGGCAGCAGUGGGGAAUUUUGGACAAUGGGGCAACCCUGAUCCAGCCAUGCCGCGUGUGU